This 1379-nucleotide ribosomal RNA is filed under the name Staphylococcus aureus M0817. Its description in RNAcentral is "bacterial SSU rRNA". It matches the Rfam family "Bacterial small subunit ribosomal RNA", at positions 8 to 1368 of the family's 1533-position model. The record is from RNAcentral. Lineage: Bacteria; Bacillati; Bacillota; Bacilli; Caryophanales; Staphylococcaceae.
AGAGUUUGAUCCUGGCUCAGGAUGAACGCUGGCGGCGUGCCUAAUACAUGCAAGUCGAGCGAACGGACGAGAAGCUUGCUUCUCUGAUGUUAGCGGCGGACGGGUGAGUAACACGUGGAUAACCUACCUAUAAGACUGGGAUAACUUCGGGAAACCGGAGCUAAUACCGGAUAAUAUUUUGAACCGCAUGGUUCAAAAGUGAAAGACGGUCUUGCUGUCACUUAUAGAUGGAUCCGCGCUGCAUUAGCUAGUUGGUAAGGUAACGGCUUACCAAGGCAACGAUGCAUAGCCGACCUGAGAGGGUGAUCGGCCACACUGGAACUGAGACACGGUCCAGACUCCUACGGGAGGCAGCAGUAGGGAAUCUUCCGCAAUGGGCGAAAGCCUGACGGAGCAACGCCGCGUGAGUGAUGAAGGUCUUCGGAUCGUAAAACUCUGUUAUUAGGGAAGAACAUAUGUGUAAGUAACUGUGCACAUCUUGACGGUACCUAAUCAGAAAGCCACGGCUAACUACGUGCCAGCAGCCGCGGUAAUACGUAGGUGGCAAGCGUUAUCCGGAAUUAUUGGGCGUAAAGCGCGCGUAGGCGGUUUUUUAAGUCUGAUGUGAAAGCCCACGGCUCAACCGUGGAGGGUCAUUGGAAACUGGAAAACUUGAGUGCAGAAGAGGAAAGUGGAAUUCCAUGUGUAGCGGUGAAAUGCGCAGAGAUAUGGAGGAACACCAGUGGCGAAGGCGACUUUCUGGUCUGUAACUGACGCUGAUGUGCGAAAGCGUGGGGAUCAAACAGGAUUAGAUACCCUGGUAGUCCACGCCGUAAACGAUGAGUGCUAAGUGUUAGGGGGUUUCCGCCCCUUAGUGCUGCAGCUAACGCAUUAAGCACUCCGCCUGGGGAGUACGACCGCAAGGUUGAAACUCAAAGGAAUUGACGGGGACCCGCACAAGCGGUGGAGCAUGUGGUUUAAUUCGAAGCAACGCGAAGAACCUUACCAAAUCUUGACAUCCUUUGACAACUCUAGAGAUAGAGCCUUCCCCUUCGGGGGACAAAGUGACAGGUGGUGCAUGGUUGUCGUCAGCUCGUGUCGUGAGAUGUUGGGUUAAGUCCCGCAACGAGCGCAACCCUUAAGCUUAGUUGCCAUCAUUAAGUUGGGCACUCUAAGUUGACUGCCGGUGACAAACCGGAGGAAGGUGGGGAUGACGUCAAAUCAUCAUGCCCCUUAUGAUUUGGGCUACACACGUGCUACAAUGGACAAUACAAAGGGCAGCGAAACCGCGAGGUCAAGCAAAUCCCAUAAAGUUGUUCUCAGUUCGGAUUGUAGUCUGCAACUCGACUACAUGAAGCUGGAAUCGCUAGUAAUCGUAGAUCAGCAUGCUACGGUGAAUA